This 449-nucleotide ribosomal RNA is filed under the name uncultured bacterium. RNAcentral describes it as "partial 16S ribosomal RNA". It matches the Rfam family "Bacterial small subunit ribosomal RNA", at positions 29 to 523 of the family's 1533-position model. The record is from RNAcentral.
AACGAACGCUGGCGGCAUGCCUAACACAUGCGAGUCGAACGAGAUCUUCGGGUCUAGUGGCGCACGGGUGCGUAACGCGUGGGAAUCUGCCCUUUGGUUCGGAAUAACAGUUGGAAACGACUGCUAAUACCGGAUGAUGACGAAAGUCCAAAGAUUUAUCGCCAGAGGAUGAGCCCGCGUAGGAUUAGCUAGUUGGUGUGGUAAAGGCGCACCAAGGCGACGAUCCUUAGCUGGUCUGAGAGGAUGAUCAGCCACACUGGGACUGAGACACGGCCCAGACUCCUACGGGAGGCAGCAGUGGGGAAUAUUGGACAAUGGGCGAAAGCUUGAUCCAGCAAUGCCGCGUGAGUGAUGAAGGCCUUAGGGUUGUAAAGCUCUUUUACCCGGGAUGAUAAUGACAGUACCGGGAGAAUAAGCUCCGGCUAACUCCGUGCCAGCCGCCGCGGUAA